RNAcentral lists this ribosomal RNA (297 nucleotides) under uncultured bacterium. Its description in RNAcentral is "partial 16S ribosomal RNA". It matches the Rfam family "Bacterial small subunit ribosomal RNA", at positions 337 to 651 of the family's 1533-position model. The record is from RNAcentral.
ACCUACGGGACGCAGCAGUGGGGGAUAUUGCACAAUGGGGGGAACCCUGAUGCAGCGACGCCGCGGGGGUGAAGAAGCGCCUCGGCGCGUAAAGCCCUGUCAGCAGGGAAGAAAAUGACGGUACCUGAAGAAGAAGCCCCGGCUAACUACGUGCCAGCAGCCGCGGUAAUACGUAGGGGGCAAGCGUUAUCCGGAUUUACUGGGUGUAUAGGGCGCGUAGGCGGUAAUAUAAGUCAGAUGUGAAAGGUGGGGGCUCAACCCCUAGAGUGCAACUGAUACUGUAUAACUUGAGUGUGA